RNAcentral lists this ribosomal RNA (480 nucleotides) under uncultured bacterium. Its description in RNAcentral is "partial 16S ribosomal RNA". It matches the Rfam family "Bacterial small subunit ribosomal RNA", at positions 28 to 523 of the family's 1533-position model. The record is from RNAcentral.
GACGAACGCUGGCGGCGUGCUUAACACAUGCAAGUCGAGCGGAAAGGCCCUUUCGGGGGUACUCGAGCGGCGAACGGGUGAGUAACACGUGAGUAAUCUGCCCCUGGCUUUGGGUUAGCCACCGGAAACGGUGAUUAAUACCGGAUACGACCACUUCUCGCAUGGGAUGGUGGUGGAAAGUUUUUCGGCCAGGGAUGUGCUCGCGGCCUAUCAGCUUGAUGGUGAGGUAAUGGCUCACCAGGGCUUCGACGGGUAGCCGGCGUGAGAGGGUGAGCGGUCACACUGGGACGGAGACACGGCCCAGACGGCUACGGGAGGCGGCAGUGGGGAAUAUUGGAAAAUGGGCGGAGGCCGGAUCCAGCAACGCCGCGUGAGGGAUGACGGCCUUCGGGUUGUAAACCUCUUUCAGCAGGGACGAAGCGCAAGUGACGGUACCUGCAGAAGAAGCACCGGCCAACUACGUGCCAGCCGCCGCCGUAA